CGCGUAGGUGGUAGUGAAAGUCUAUGGUGGAAUCUUAGGGCUUAACCCUAAAACUGCCUUGGAAACUUCAUUACUUGAGUCAGUGAGGGGAGGGUAGAAUUCCUGGUGUAGCGGUGAAAUGCGUAGAUAUCAGGAGGAAGGCCGGUGGCGAAGGCGGCCCUCUGGCGCUGAACUGACGCUGAGGCGCGAAAGCGUGGGUAGCAAACAGGAUUAGAUACCCUGGUAGUCCACGCCCUAAACGGUGGGUACUAGGUGUAGGGCUCGUAAGGGUUCUGUGCCGAAGGGAACCAUUAAGUACCCCGCCUGGGGAGUACGGCCGCAAGGUUGAA
Molecule: ribosomal RNA, 329 nt
Filed under: uncultured bacterium
Lineage: Bacteria
Description: bacterial SSU rRNA
Rfam family: Bacterial small subunit ribosomal RNA
Source: RNAcentral